Molecule: ribosomal RNA, 440 nt
Filed under: uncultured bacterium
Lineage: Bacteria
Description: partial 16S ribosomal RNA
Rfam family: Bacterial small subunit ribosomal RNA
Source: RNAcentral
CCUACGGGUGGCAGCAGUGGGGAAUAUUGGACAAUGGGGGAAACCCUGAUGCAGCAACGCCGCGUGAGGGAUGACGGCCUUCGGGUUGUAAAGCUCUUUUUUCAGGGACGAAAAAGACGGGACGUGAGGAGGAAUCCGCGGCGAACUACGGGCCAGCAGCCGCGGUAAUACGGAGGUGGCGGGCGUUGUUCGGAGUUUCUGGGCGUAAAGGGAGCGUAGGCGGGGUUGUAAGUGAGAUGUGAAAUACUCGGGCGCAACUUCAGUGCUGCAUUUGAAACUGGAAGUCUAGAGUGCAGGAGAGGAAGACGGAAUUCCUAGUGUAGCGGUGAAAUGCGUAGAGAUUAGGAAGAACACCAGUGGCGAAGGCGAUUUUCUGGACUGUAACUGACGCUGAGGCUCGAAAGCGUGGGGAGCAAACAGGAUUAGAUACCCCAGUAGUC